AUUGAACGCUGGCGGCAGGCCUAACACAUGCAAGUCGAGCGGAUGAAGGGAGCUUGCUCCUGGAUUCAGCGGCGGACGGGUGAGUAAUGCCUAGGAAUCUGCCUGGUAGUGGGGGAUAACGUCCGGAAACGGGCGCUAAUACCGCAUACGUCCUGAGGGAGAAAGUGGGGGAUCUUCGGACCUCACGCUAUCAGAUGAGCCUAGGUCGGAUUAGCUAGUUGGUGGGGUAAAGGCCUACCAAGGCGACGAUCCGUAACUAGUCUGAGAGGAUGAUCAGUCACCCGGGAACGGAGAACCGGCCCAAAUCCCUAGGGGGGGCAGGAGUGGGAAAUUUUGACAAAGGGGCGAAAGCCGAACCAAGCCAGGCGGGGUGGGGGAAGAAGGUCUGCGGUUUGUAAAGCACUUUAAGUGGGGAGGAAGGGCAGUAAGUUAAAACCUUGCUUUUUUGGCUUUACCAAAAAAAAAAGCACCGGCAAACUUCGU
RNAcentral lists this ribosomal RNA (483 nucleotides) under uncultured bacterium. RNAcentral's name for it is "partial 16S ribosomal RNA". It matches the Rfam family "Bacterial small subunit ribosomal RNA", at positions 29 to 506 of the family's 1533-position model. The record is from RNAcentral.